CAGGCUGCAACUCGCCUGCAUGAAGUCGGAAUUGCUAGUAAUCGCAGAUCGGCAUGCUGCGGUGAAUACGUUCCCGGGCCUUGUACACACCGCCCGUCACACCAUGGGAGUCGGUAACACCCGAAGUCGGUAGCCUAACCGUAAGGAGGGCGCCGCCGAAGGUGGGAUUGAUGACUGGGGUGAAGUCGUAACAAGGUACC
Molecule: ribosomal RNA, 200 nt
Filed under: uncultured bacterium
Lineage: Bacteria
Description: partial 16S ribosomal RNA
Rfam family: Bacterial small subunit ribosomal RNA
Source: RNAcentral